AGAGUUUGAUCCUGGCUCAGGAUGAACGCUAGCGGCAGGCCUAAUACAUGCAAGUCGAACGGGAUGGAGUAGCAAUACUCCAUCUAGUGGCGCACGGGUGCGUAACGCGUAUGCAACCUACCUUUUAUUGGGGGAUAGCCCGAGGAAACUCGGAUUAAUACCGCAUAAUACUAUUUGAGGGCAUCUGAGGAUAGUUAAAGCUGAGGCGAUAGAAGAUGGGCAUGCGUGACAUUAGCUAGUUGGUUGGGGUAACGGCCCACCAAGGCGACGAUGUCUAGGGGUUCUGAGAGGAUGAUCCCCCACACUGGUACUGAGAUACGGACCAGACUCCUACGGGAGGCAGCAGUAGGGAAUAUUGGGCAAUGGUCGGAAGACUGACCCAGCCAUGCCGCGUGCAGGAUGAAGGCCUUCUGGGUUGUAAACUGCUUUUAUCUAGGAAGAAAAUACCCUUGCGAGGGGAACUGACGGUACUAGGUGAAUAAGCACCGGCUAACUCCGUGCCAGCAGCCGCGGUAAUACGGAGGGUGCAAGCGUUGUCCGGAUUUAUUGGGUUUAAAGGGUGCGUAGGCGGCUUAGUAAGUCAGUGGUGAAAUCCCAUCGCUCAACGAUGGAACUGCCAUUGAUACUGCUAGGCUUGAGUACAGACGAGGUAGGCGGAAUUGAUGGUGUAGCGGUGAAAUGCAUAGAUACCAUCAAGAACACCGAUUGCGAAGGCAGCUUACUAGACUGUAACUGACGCUGAGGCACGAAAGCGUGGGGAGCGAACAGGAUUAGAUACCCUAGUAGUCC
Molecule: ribosomal RNA, 789 nt
Filed under: uncultured bacterium
Lineage: Bacteria
Description: bacterial SSU rRNA
Rfam family: Bacterial small subunit ribosomal RNA
Source: RNAcentral